RNAcentral lists this long non-coding RNA (1066 nucleotides) under Chrysolophus pictus (golden pheasant). Its description in RNAcentral is "lncRNA (ENSCPIG00010003810.1)". Lineage: Eukaryota; Metazoa; Chordata; Aves; Galliformes; Phasianidae. The record is from RNAcentral.
ACCUCCAAGGGCUCUGCAGAUGUAUUCUCGCCAGUUCUGAUGCACGCAGCAGUGCUUCACCCCAACAGGCUUUGAACUCCCCGUGGGUUGUUGUCCUUUCCUUGAUGCAGUGAGUCUGGAAGACCUGGUGGCUGUUUUCAUACAGGGACACAGGACAGAUGCCAGCAGGUUUGCCAGGUGCUUGCUUCACCUUCUAUGCUUCCACCCUUUACCUCACCCAUGGCUGUCUCAGAUUUAUUUCAUUUGUCACUGUCCUUAUGAAGUGAAAUGGGGAUGUUUUUAUUUACCUCAAAGAACCACAGCUCAGCCCAGUGCUUUCUUUUCCUUAGCAUGUAGGUAUCAUGGGAAAAUAAUCUGCAGGUCCUGGAAACCCUUUCUUCAGGAGACAAAAACUGCACCCAGCAGGUAUUUAUGGUGUUUGAUGUCUUAGGACAAGAGAUCAGGUCCAGCCCUGCUGAAGUAUCUAACUGCAUAUCUUUCUGAUCUGCCUCUGUCUGAGCUUACAGCAAAAAGGCAGAUGAGAUGCUGAAGAUACCAAGAUAAGCCUGUGGGAUGGUCUUUGGGCUUGUCUAGUGGAAAUGCAGCAAAGGUGAGGACAUCAGGCAGUGCGAAGCAGGGAAGCAUCCUUGAGACUGGGUUCUGCUUCUCCUAUGCAUCAUGUAGGAUAAGAGCUAAUAGCUUCAAGUUGCUCCAGAGAACAUUCAGGUUGGAUACUUGGAAAAAUUUCUUCCCAGAAAGAGCGGUGAGGUAUUGAUUAGGCUUUUCAGCGAGGUGGUGGAGUUACUGUCCCGAGAGGUGUUCAAGUAAGGGUAGAUGUGACACUGAGGAAAAUGGUCUAGAGUGGUCACAGGCAUGGACUGAUGGUUGGACUGGAUGAUCUAAGCACUCUUUUCAACUUCAGUGAUUCUAUGUCCUCUACACCUUGUUGUGAUGUGUGCCAGGCUGCUCAAAGGAGAAGAUGCUUUCAGCUCUAAGGCAUGAGCCUGGCUGUCUCUCAGCUUGACAGGAGGAGGAUGGUAUUAGAAAGCAGCAUGCAUGGGAGCUCCAUCUGCAGCAUGGGCGAAGG